UACGGAGGGGGCGAGCGUUAUUCGGAAUUAUUGGGCGUAAAGGGCGCGUAGGCGGCUUUCUAAGUCAAAGGUGAAAUCCCUCGGCUCAACUGAGGAACUGCCUUUGAAACUGGAAGGCUUGAGGCCGGGAGGGGGUAGCGGAAUUCCCAGUGUAGCGGUGAAAUGCGUAGAUAUUGGGAGGAACACCAGUGGCGAAGGCGGCUACCUGGACAGAUACUGACGCUGAGACACGAAAGCGUGGGGAGCAAACAGG
This 253-nucleotide ribosomal RNA is filed under the name uncultured bacterium. Its description in RNAcentral is "partial 16S ribosomal RNA". It matches the Rfam family "Bacterial small subunit ribosomal RNA", at positions 524 to 776 of the family's 1533-position model. The record is from RNAcentral.